RNAcentral lists this ribosomal RNA (683 nucleotides) under Pseudomonas sp. Its description in RNAcentral is "bacterial SSU rRNA". It matches the Rfam family "Bacterial small subunit ribosomal RNA", at positions 79 to 758 of the family's 1533-position model. The record is from RNAcentral. Lineage: Bacteria; Pseudomonadati; Pseudomonadota; Gammaproteobacteria; Pseudomonadales; Pseudomonadaceae.
CUUGCUUCUCUUGAGAGCGGCGGACGGGUGAGUAWUGCCUAGGAAUCUGCCUGGUAGUGGGGGAUAACGCUCGGAAACGGACGCUAAUACCGCAUACGUCCUACGGGAGAAAGCAGGGGACCUUCGGGCCUUGCGCUAUCAGAUGAGCCUAGGUCGGAUUAGCUAGUUGGUGAGGUAAUGGCUCACCAAGGCGACGAUCCGUAACUGGUCUGAGAGGAUGAUCAGUCACACUGGAACUGAGACACGGUCCAGACUCCUACGGGAGGCAGCAGUGGGGAAUAUUGGACAAUGGGCGAAAGCCUGAUCCAGCCAUGCCGCGUGUGUGAAGAAGGUCUUCGGAUUGUAAAGCACUUUAAGUUGGGAGGAAGGGCAUUAACCUAAUACGUUGGUGUCUUGACGUUACCGACAGAAUAAGCACCGGCUAACUCUGUGCCAGCAGCCGCGGUAAUACAGAGGGUGCAAGCGUUAAUCGGAAUUACUGGGCGUAAAGCGCGCGUAGGUGGUUUGUUAAGUUGGAUGUGAAAUCCCCGGGCUCAACCUGGGAACUGCAUUCAAAACUGACAAGCUAGAGUAUGGUAGAGGGUGGUGGAAUUUCCUGUGUAGCGGUGAAAUGCGUAGAUAUAGGAAGGAACACCAGUGGCGAAGGCGACCACCUGGACUGAUACUGACACUGAGGUGCGAAA